AUCCUUGCUUAGAGGCAGUAUUGUAACUCAUGAAGUCUAUCUGAGGCGUGAUUAUUGCUAGUUGAAAACUUUACCCAAUAACCUGCCUGGGCGACCUGAAAUAUGGUUAACCAUGGCAAUUUUUGACAGUUUCCUACGGGC
This is a small nuclear RNA of Nerophis ophidion (straightnose pipefish), 141 nucleotides long. RefSeq annotates it as U4 spliceosomal RNA. Lineage: Eukaryota; Metazoa; Chordata; Actinopteri; Syngnathiformes; Syngnathidae. The transcript has a single exon. The record is from RefSeq and is a predicted model, not a curated record.